GGCCCCAUGGUCAAGUGGUUAAGACAUCGCCCUUUCAAGGCGGUAACACGGGUUCGACUCCCGUUGGGGCCACCA
This 75-nucleotide transfer RNA is filed under the name Candidatus Fermentithermobacillus carboniphilus. RNAcentral's name for it is "tRNA-Glu". It matches the Rfam family "tRNA". From Rfam's summary of the family: Transfer RNA (tRNA) molecules are approximately 80 nucleotides in length. Their secondary structure includes four short double-helical elements and three loops (D, anti-codon, and T loops). The record is from RNAcentral. RNAcentral also lists the same sequence under 1 other name. Lineage: Bacteria; Bacillati; Bacillota; Candidatus Fermentithermobacillia; Candidatus Fermentithermobacillales; Candidatus Fermentithermobacillaceae.